Molecule: antisense RNA, 75 nt
Filed under: Streptomyces sp. Root264
Lineage: Bacteria; Bacillati; Actinomycetota; Actinomycetes; Kitasatosporales; Streptomycetaceae
Description: ASpks TB sRNA
Rfam family: ASpks TB sRNA
Source: Rfam by way of RNAcentral
CUUCAGGGAACCGAUCAACAGCGGGGCGCCGGCGUCGCGCUCCUGGCCGUAGGUGGCCUGCAGCGCCUGCGCCUC